CAAGUACGCUGCGCGGUAGGCCUAUACUUGCAUGUCGUACGGCAGCACUGGAGAGCUUGCUCUCUGGGUGGCGAGUGGCGGACGGGUGAGGAAUACAUCGGAAUCUACUUUUUCGUGGGGGAUAACGUAGGGAAACUUACGCUAAUACCGCAUACGACCUACGGGUGAAAGCAGGGGACCUUCGGGCCUUGCGCGAUUGAAUGAGCCGAUGUCGGAUUAGCUAGUUGGCGGGGUAAAGGCCCACCAAGGCGACGAUCCGUAGCUGGUCUGAGAGGAUGAUCAGCCACACUGGAACUGAGACACGGUCCAGACUCCUACGGGAGGCAGCAGUGGGGAAUAUUGGACAAUGGGCGCAAGCCUGAUCCAGCCAUACCGCGUGGGUGAAGAAGGCCUUCGGGUUGUAAAGCCCUUUUGUUGGGAAAGAAAUCCAGCUGGCUAAUACCCGGUUGGGAUGACGGUACCCAAAGAAUAAGCACCGGCUAACUUCGUGCCAGCAGCCGCGGUAAUACGAAGGGUGCAAGCGUUACUCGGAAUUACUGGGCGUAAAGCGUGCGUAGGUGGUCGUUUAAGUCCGUUGUGAAAGCCCUGGGCUCACCUGGGAACUGCAGUGGAUACUGGGCGACUAGAGUGUGGUAGAGGGUAGCGGAAUUCCUGGUGUAGCAGUGAAAUGCGUAGAGAUCAGGAGGAACAUCCAUGGCGAAGGCAGCUACCUGGACCAACACUGACACUGAGGCACGAAAGCGUGGGGGAGCAACAGGAUAAGAUACCCUGGU
This 773-nucleotide ribosomal RNA is filed under the name Stenotrophomonas sp. HPC 558. Its description in RNAcentral is "bacterial SSU rRNA". It matches the Rfam family "Bacterial small subunit ribosomal RNA", at positions 26 to 791 of the family's 1533-position model. Lineage: Bacteria; Pseudomonadati; Pseudomonadota; Gammaproteobacteria; Lysobacterales; Lysobacteraceae. The record is from RNAcentral.